This 31-nucleotide ribosomal RNA is filed under the name Haemaphysalis longicornis (longhorned tick). RNAcentral's name for it is "partial 28S ribosomal RNA". Lineage: Eukaryota; Metazoa; Arthropoda; Arachnida; Ixodida; Ixodidae. The record is from RNAcentral.
ACCUCAGAUCAGGCGAGACAACCCGCUGAAU